This is a non-coding RNA of Anoplopoma fimbria (sablefish), 1217 nucleotides long. Lineage: Eukaryota; Metazoa; Chordata; Actinopteri; Perciformes; Anoplopomatidae. The record is from the annotation of a RefSeq genome assembly.
AUGAUUCCAGGCGUCACCACCUUGGCUUUCUUUAUGCUUUGGGCUGCAGGCGUUUCUCAGUCUGUGCUGAUCACUCAGUGGCCCCACUACAUCUCCAGUCUUCCAGAUGUGUCGGCAGAAAUGCACUGCUUCCAGAACGACACAGAUUAUGAAUAUCUGUACUGGUACCGACAGCAGAGUGGAGGAGCUUUUCAGUUAAUAGGGUAUAUACUAGUUGGGACGGCAACUUAUGAAGAGGGAUUCAAAUCUGGUUAUGAGGCAGCGAGGUCGCAGGAGAAGCAGUGGUCUCUGACGAUAGCCAGCGUUCAGAAGGAAGACGAGGCUGUUUAUCUGUGUGCAGCCAGUCUACACAGUGCUCUGGGAGGAGGCUCCUACACUGAUCCUGCUUACUUUGGCCAAGGAACCAAACUGACUGUUUUAGAAAAAGAUCUUAACGUCACCGUACCGACAGUCAGAGUGCUUCCACCUUCAACAAAGGAGUGUCAAAACCAGAAGGACAACCAGAAGAAGAAGACCAUUGUUUGUGUGGCCAGUGGAUUCUACCCUGAUCAUGUCGGUGUGGUCUGGAAGAUCGACGGGGAGAAUGUCACCACCGGUGUGGCGACCGACAACGCUGCCCUCCGAGAAGGCAAGUUUUACACAAUCACCAGCAGGCUGAGGGUCUCUGCCAGAGAAUGGUUCACAAAAGGCCUAGAGUUCACCUGCUCCGUCAGCUUCUUCGACGGGACAAAUACUGAACUUCAUGAAGGAUCAAUUCAUGGGGUAGAAGGUAAAGGAGGAACCCUGACAAGAGAGAAAUAUCUGAGGGUCACACAGAGCGCCAAACUCUCCUACGGUGUUUUCAUCGUCAAGAGCAGCAUCUAUGGAGCCUUUGUGGCGUUUUUGGUGUGGAAGCUUCAGAGUUCAGCUGGGAAGCGGAACGACUGAGAGCUGAGCUGAAGCCUGAACAGACCAUCUUUAUCUCGGUUUCUGUAAAUAGAGUUCAUAGUUAUGUUUCCACAGCUUUGUGUGUCACAGUGUAUUUGCAUUCAUAUAUAAAUGAGCCAAUCAAAUGACAUCAGAGAUUUAUUCCUAUUGCAAUAUUAAAUCUAUUGCUGGCAUGGAAGUAUAUUAGAUGUAAACUAUUUUACAAACACGUCUACUGUACGUUUGUGCUUGUGAAUUAUUUCAUGGUUGAUUUCCUUCUCAAUAAAAGUAGAUCACAUGAUCUAACAGAU